Molecule: long non-coding RNA, 4202 nt
Organism: Capra hircus (goat)
Lineage: Eukaryota; Metazoa; Chordata; Mammalia; Artiodactyla; Bovidae
Exons: 2
Source: RefSeq, a predicted model, not a curated record
GGCGCCGGAAGUCGCGUCUCCGAGCCGCGCGGUCGCGUCGGUUGUGCCUCUCCUUCCAGGGUUGGGGGCCGCGGGCCGCUUGGAGGUGUCUCAGCCGAGAGUCACGCCUGGGAGUCCGGCGCCGGCGUCUCCUCGAACGUGCGUGGUUCGGCCGGGGCGUGGGGACAGCCUCCUGAGGCUGAAGGGACCGGCGAGGCCGCCUCGGACGACGUCGAGCCUCGGACUACAGGUCCCAGCAUGCCGCGCUGCCUCCCACAAUGCACUUCUCCGGGCCCCGCCGCUGGGGUGUCUGGGAGCCAAUUGGACGCCUUCGGGAGGGCCGGCUGUAGGCCGUGCGGUGUCCGCUGCCGCUGCGGCUGUGUGCUGGGGUCCGGGGAAGUGUGGCAGCCCCGGGACGGCCGUCCCAGGCCUGAGAGGCCGGCUGAGGUUAGACACCCUGGACCGUGAGUCGGCAGGCUGGAGCGCAGUGCUGGUUCCCAGACGGCCGGCCAUCUAGGUGGUCCUGGAGGGCUGGACAGGGACCCGCUGGGCUUGCGGUUGCAGCUCAUGGCCGCUCAGCGCUGCGGGUUGGUGAGGAUGCCGACUUCAGGAUCUGCUCGAGGAAACUGCCCUUCCUCGGGAAGGAGGGCAGGCAGCCACCCUGGCGCUUGUUGUCCGGCUGCCUCUCCAGGCCUGCUUCGCUGCAGCUGGACCCUUCACAGAGGGCCGCGCGGGGGCAGGUGGGGAGGACCCAAUCCUCGGACAGCUCUCUGCUACCACCUGAAGCUCAGAUUUCGCGCCCUCAGGCCGUCUUUGCUCAGACCCCGCAUACGCAGGGUGGUCAGAUCAGAUCCCCACAGGCCCUCCCGCUGAUGAGACACUGAGCCUGAUCCAAGAACGCCCGCCGACCUUGCUCCAGAGCCUCCAGUGUGAGGCUGUGACAGCUGCGGCUCCUCCCUCUGAGGCCCCCAUGGGGCCUGCAUGAGGAGCAGCUGCUAGUGGUGAUGUGACCUGGGCUACCUCGAACCCACCAGGCCCCAGCCCCUUGGUUUGGGGGCCUAGGGUCCUCAUCUCUUCUGAAGUUCUGGAACCACAGCAUCAUCUGACAUCUACCCCCUGCAAAGCUUACUUCAUGACAGUUUACCCUGAAGCACUGACUCUUAACAGGAGAUGUUUUAUGGCAGGCUGGAUGCUGCACCGUAGCUGGAGGGAGUCAGGAAUGGCCCAGGAGCUGCCUCAUGUGGGUGUCCUAAAGGAUUAGGGGACAGAUUUGGCUACCCUGGGGUGUUGCGCAACUGGUCUGCUCCAGGUAACACAAGGGUGGUUAGCAGAUGAGCUGGGACCAGCCCAAGAACUGGAAUCCCAGUGGGGGCCUCUGCUGGGCCUCUUAACCCUGGCUUGCAAGCUCUGGAGAGCAGGCAGCUUCCUGUGGGCACAUCGGUGUCCAGGGCUGGGCUUAUGCCCAGAGAAGCAGCAGGAGACAGUUGGUUUGGGGCAGGGAGCAGCCCACAACCGUAGGGACGAGUUUGUGACCAGCACUGAGAUGGCUGAAGGCAGCUAGCUCUCCUGUCGGCCUGCCUGGCACAGCUCCUCCUGGGCCACACUUACCCGUGAGCCCUUCAGGGUCCCAUUCCCCACCCCCUGGGUGUGAAGAUGGCCAACUGGCCAGUUAGCAGCACUCUCCUCUCCUUCCUGGGCUCACCCCUGCACCCCUGCCUUGUGCAGAGUAGAGCAUCUGGCUGGUGGGUAGAAGGAGGAGUUGGAAGCAGCCUGGACUGGGGAUAUGACCAGUUAACCCCAGUCUCCAGGCCCUGAGAUGGGCAGUUACUUAGUCUGACCUCAGUCCUCAAUGAGAUGGGAACACCAGCUCCAUGUUAUCCCAGUGUUUGACGGGCACAAAUGAGAUAGCGGGAGGCCCCGUGGAGCUGAAAGAACUGACCUUGGGCCCCUCAGGUGAGGAAGCCUUGCUGGACUCGCAGCAGAACAACAGUGGGAAAAACACCUCGAGGCGGGCAGUUCGACGUGUUCUCUGUCGCUGGUGCAUCUGCGUUGCAGGGCACUGUCAGGCACGUGCCCCACCAGAGGCAGCCAGGGAAUCUGCCCGUGUCCUGGGCCUGUGGGCGGCGGGGCGCCUGUCCCUCUGGGCGGGGCCUUCCGUCUGGGACUCUCCUCCUGAGGGGACGGGACAGGUGAGAGGUCCCCCACCUGAGCAAGGCCUGGGCCCACGGGACCAGCCUCCACCACGUCUACUGCAGCAGGGCCAGGAGUCACCUAAGAAGGAUCACCGGAGGCUGUGCCCCGCUGGGUGGCUUUCCAGGCUGCGCUCCAGGCCCCUGUCUGCAACUACAAACCCUGUGGUGCAAGGGCCCGGGCUGGGCUGAGGCUUGUGAGAAACCACCCUGGGCCCGGGCUAGGGGGCCGGUUGUCGGGGGUCAUGGCCCUAGGCUGUGGGGAGCAGUCGUGAGCACCGGGGACGUGGACUGCUCCCCUGUGGGGUGGUGGUAGCUGGCGGGGGGAGGGGUUCUGGAAGCUCGGGUCUCUCCCCUGCCCGUCUGGAGGGUCCAGCUGAGCAGCCGUCCCAGGAGGGCCAGAACAAAGGCACCCGUGUCAGCCCCGUGGCCCCGUCAGUUCACAGAAGUGAGGAGGGUCCGCCCCGAGAGCAGGAGGGUCAGGCUCGUUUCACAGCGACGAGACGUGGAGUCUGUGUGGUCCUCACGCACCUCAGCGGUAGGUGUCACUGUCCCGUCUUACGACGAGGAACCUGGACUUAAAUGGGAAGAGGCAGCAGCCCAGGACCCCACACAGCUAUAGACGGACAGAGGCCAGGCAGUCCCAGGUCACUCUGCUCACGAGAGGAAUGGAUGCUUGCAGGGUGGUGUUUUAGAUCAACCUUGGGGUUUUUUAACCUUGUUACAAAUAAUAGAUGUUCUUACUGGAAUUUCUGCCUGUUGCUCCGCAAUGGUAAUGUGUCCUUACAUUUUAUUACUAACACAAUACAGAUAAUUUCUUCUGUUGACUUCCAUCCCCCGGGACGACCGUUUUUCCAAGUGGGAUGUUUUCUGCAGUGUGGGCGAGCCGUCACAUUCACUUCAGGUCGUGGAGUCUGUGCCUCGCCGCUUGCUCAUGCGUUUUUGAACAAGGGAGGUUUAUCCAGGCCUGGCCGGUGGGCGGCUGUCCUCUCAGCACACUGCCCAUGCCCCUCAAUUGCCCUGCCUUGGCCUUCAUCCUUCCAGGGUCUGGUCAGGGAUUAUUUAGAAAGUGGGAAAAAAAGAAACCUUAACAGCUGGCAUCUGAUUGCCCUUGGUGAAAUGACAGCCUGUGUCAGGGAAUACGCCCACCAGGUGGGUUAGGGAGGGUGCCCCCGGGUAAGGUGGCUCCAGGUGGCUUGGUCUGGCCAUGGAGGGCUGAUGGGCGGCUGGGGGGCAAUGGCUGAGGAAGGGAGGGUGGCCUCCCGAUGCGUGGAGGACGGGGAUGCCUCCAUCAGUUUGAGCGUCUCUGUAGGGGCAGGUCAUGACCCCAGGUCUGGGGCGAGUCCCACUUCUUUCCCUGCGCACUGUCCCAUCGUGGGGUCAUUUGCUGAUGCUAAGAGUGCUCUUUGUCUGCUGUUCCAGUCCGUGACCCCUCUUCUUCGUGACCAUUCUUCCUAGUUUUCGUUUUUUAAGAAUUGUCCCUUUAAAAACUUCCAGAUCUUUGAGAGGUUCUUUGGCCCAAGUCCCGGUCAUUUCACAAGUGCCUGUUCCUGGUUUCUCAACGCCCCCGCCUCCAUGCGCGUGGCUGAGAUGUCAGCACUACGCUUGUAAAGGCCUCCUCUGCUUGCUGUUAGCUCGGUUUCCUUGGGGAUCAGUCUGCAGGUCCGGUGCUCAUGGCCACCCCCCUGGCUCCACUCUCCCGCCUGACUGCUCCCUUCUCUGCCCCCAGAAUUCUGUCUCCUAGCACCGUGCCCCCAGCCCCUAUGGCGGUCAUUACUGCUGCUGGUGGAAACCCCCCACCUCCACGCGCCUGGUGGGAGUGGCCGUGUGGGCCAGUGUGAAUGCUGUGGGCAGACGUGGCACAUGGCCCCAGUAUGUCCGAUUGCCGGCCUGGGCCCCCCACACCCCCUUAUCUCUGCCGAGAUGCUACUGUCCAUCAGCUGGGGCCCCUGAGGAACCAGUGAUGGGAAGCCCACCCCCCGACCUGGCCUGGACAAGUGCCACAAGUGAGAAAUAAACCUUCGCUGUUUAAAA